CAGCACAGUCGUAGCAAUACGAUGGGUGGCGAGUGGCGGACGGGUGAGUAAUGCAUCGGGACCUACCCAGACGUGGGGGAUAACGUAGGGAAACUUACGCUAAUACCGCAUACGUCCUACGGGAGAAAGCGGGGGACCUUCGGGCCUCGCGCGGUUGGACGGACCGAUGUGCGAUUAGCUAGUUGGUAGGGUAAUGGCCUACCAAGGCGACGAUCGCUAGCUGGUCUGAGAGGAUGAUCAGCCACACUGGAACUGAGACACGGUCCAGACUCCUACGGGAGGCAGCAGUGGGGAAUAUUGGACAAUGGGCGCAAGCCUGAUCCAGCAAUGCCGCGUGUGUGAAGAAGGCCUUCGGGUUGUAAAGCACUUUUAUCAGGAGCGAAAUACUACCGGUUAAUAACCGGUGGGGCUGACGGUACCUGAGGAAUAAGCACCGGCUAACUUCGUGCC
Molecule: ribosomal RNA, 450 nt
Filed under: uncultured bacterium
Lineage: Bacteria
Description: bacterial SSU rRNA
Rfam family: Bacterial small subunit ribosomal RNA
Source: RNAcentral